CCUACGGGGGGCAGCAGUGGGGAAUCUUGCGCAAUGCGCGAAAGCGUGACGCAGCAACGCCGCGUGAGGGAAGACGGCCUUCGGGUUGUAAACCUCUUUCAGUUGGGACGAAGCCACGACGGUUAAUACCCGUCUGUGGUGACGGUACCUUCAGAAGAAGCCCCGGCUAACUACGUGCCAGCAGCCGCGGUAAUACGUAGGGGGCAAGCGUUGUCCGGAAUUAUUGGGCGUAAAGCGCGUGUAGGCGGCUCGAUAAGUCCGCUCUGAAAGCCUAG
Molecule: ribosomal RNA, 275 nt
Filed under: uncultured Conexibacter sp.
Lineage: Bacteria; Bacillati; Actinomycetota; Thermoleophilia; Solirubrobacterales; Conexibacteraceae
Description: partial 16S ribosomal RNA
Rfam family: Bacterial small subunit ribosomal RNA
Source: RNAcentral